GUCGAAGCCACGUCCGUGUCGUUUGAUAAUGGCAAAAGUCUCGUGUGUGGGGUGGUGGGGGUGGGGCUGUGUGAGACUAUUGUUUUCGAGAUUGCUAGCGAAAAGCAUCUCAAUCCCUGAAUCGCACACCCAGCCAGAACGAACGCCAGAAGGCCCAGAACCGCUACCUCCUCCAAUACACUUUCGUGGCUCCGCCGCAGCACGAAACCCUAGCUUCUGCAUCUCCGCCCCCUCCACCUCCCCUCCGCGAAGCAGGCGAGAUGUCGUCGGGCGGCGGUGGGGGGCAGCAGUUCCGCUACACGCAGACGCCGUCCAAGGUGCUGCACCUGCGGAACCUUCCGUGGGAGUGCGCGGAAGAGGAGCUCGUUGAGCUCUGCAAGCCCUUCGGCCGCAUCAUCAACACAAAGAGCGGCGUCGGCGCCAACCGCAACCAGGCCUUCGUCGAGUUCACUGACGUUAAUCAGGCAAUCUCGAUGGUUUCUUACUUUGCAUCAUCUUCAGAACCAGCACAAAUACGAGGCAAGACUGUUUACAUUCAGUAUUCAAACAGGCAAGAAAUAAUUAACAACAAGAGUCCUGGAGAGACUGCUGGAAAUGUCUUGCUUGUUACUAUAGAGGGUGUUCAAGCUAGUGACGUCACCAUUGAUGUGAUCCAUAUGGUUUUCUCGGCCUUUGGGUAUGUUCAUAAAAUAGCCACCUUUGAAAAGGCUGCAGGUUUUCAGGCAUUGAUCCAGUACACUGAUGCAGAUACUGCUUCAGCUGCUAGAGAAGCCUUAGAUGGAAGGAGCAUCCCAAGUUACUUGCUUCCAGAGCACGUGACAUCCUGCUGCCUGCGGAUUUCUUUUUCUGCACAUAAGGAUUUAAACAUCAAGUUUCAGUCAAACCGCAGCAGGGAUUAUAAUAAUCCAUAUCUUCCAAUUAAUUAUUCUGCCAUGGAUGGUACAUUGCAGCCUGCUGUUGGAUCUGACGGAAGGAAAGUGGAGGCUCAAGGCAAUGUUCUUCUUGCAUCAAUUGAGAAUAUGCAAUAUGCUGUUUCUGUAGACGUGCUUCAUACUGUGUUCUCAUCAUUUGGUACAGUCCAGAAAAUUGCUAUUUUUGAGAAGAAUGGGGGAACACAAGCUUUGAUUCAGUACCCUGUAAUCGUUUACCAUCUGCCAACUCUGAAGUGCUUGGAUCUCCCUAAAAAGAAAAGAUUUUCCUUAUCAGAUGAUGUUUUGCCAAAACCCAAUGUGAAAGUGAUUUUCCUGUGUUAUAACAAAAACAAGAGGCUUUCACAUAUUUAGGAAUGGCAUCUCCUGGGACCCUGGAGCCCUUGAUUAAUCUGCUUAUAGUAACAUUGACUUUCUCACUAAACAUGCAGCUGAUUAUUUCAUUUUCCCAUGUGCUUUUCUAUAGAAAUUAUUCAUCUGAAUCUGAUUAAGUCUUUCUUUACACUUUAGAUGUAAAUACUGCCGCUGUAGCGAAGGAAGCAUUGGAAGGGCAUUGCAUCUACGAUGGCGGCUACUGUAAGCUUCACCUGUCAUACUCCCGUCAUACUGAUCUGAAUGUGAAGGCACAUGGUGACAAGAGCAGAGAUUAUACAAUUCCAGCUGGCGUAAUCCAAGGGGCGCCACAACCACCUGGUAUACAAGCCACGUCCCCUGGGUGGCAAGGUAACCUUCAAGCAGCAGGGCCAUAUGCCCCACCCGGUGCCCCUCCUCAAAAUCACAGUGCCAAUGGACAAGUGCCGAACUGGACUCCUGGCAAUUCAGGGUAUUCCCCAGCCCCAGGAACAUAUCCAGGCCAGAUGUACUCAUCUCCGGCACAGUAUGUAGCAUCAGGGAGCUUCCUUAAUACCUCAGCGGCCACUCCGCCUCAGUAUGCAACCUCAGGGGGCUUCCCUAAUACCCCAUCCACCGCUCCGUCACAGUAUGCAGCAUCAAGGGGCUUCCCUAACACCACACCUGCCGCCCCUCCUGGUGCUCCAUCACAAACGCCGCACGCUUCCCAGCAGAUGCCGCAUCAGCAUGGAAAUCAUUCAGGAGGAGGCACGCCCGGAACUAGCCAACCGCCACUGCCAGCAUCAUAUUACCGUUAAGUUGGAUCUUCUUUUGCUAUUGUACUUGACCUGUGUUUUGAACUGAGUAAUCAUGUAAUACUGCAAUAACCUGCGGUCUGUAACUGUGUUUAGAUGUGAUAGCAGAUGGAUACGAGUGAGGAAUACAUGAAUAUGUUUGGGGUUUUCAUUCAUUUUAAAAAACGGAUCAGUGUUGGCUCAUGGCGAUUACUGGCAAGAUCAUGAUUGA
RNA transcript from Zea mays, 2285 nucleotides. RefSeq lists it as uncharacterized. The record is from RefSeq and is marked validated. NCBI's taxonomy places the organism in Eukaryota, Viridiplantae, Streptophyta, Magnoliopsida, Poales, Poaceae. The transcript has 10 exons.